GACGAACGCUGGCGGCGUGCCUAAUACAUGCAAGUCGAGCGGACGGAUGGGAGCUUGCUCCCAGACCGUCAGCGGCGGACGGGUGAGUAACACGUGGGCAACCUGCCUGUAAGACUGGGAUAACUCCGGGAAACCGGGGCUAAUACCGGAUAACUCUUUCCCUCACAUGAGGGAAAGCUGAAAGAUGGCAUCUCGCUAUCACUUACAGAUGGGCCCGCGGCGCAUUAGCUAGUUGGUGAGGUAACGGCUCACCAAGGCGACGAUGCGUAGCCGACCUGAGAGGGUGUUCGGCCACACUGGGACUGAGACACGGCCCAGACUCCUACGGGAGGCAGCAGUAGGGAAUCUUCCGCAAUGGACGAAAGUCUGACGGAGCAACGCCGCGUGAGUGAUGAAGGUUUUCGGAUCGUAAAACUCUGUUGUCAGGGAAGAACAAGUACCGGAGUAACUGCCGGUACCUUGACGGUACCUGACCAGAAAGCCACGGCUAACUACGUG
This 498-nucleotide ribosomal RNA is filed under the name uncultured bacterium. Its description in RNAcentral is "partial 16S ribosomal RNA". It matches the Rfam family "Bacterial small subunit ribosomal RNA", at positions 28 to 507 of the family's 1533-position model. The record is from RNAcentral.